CUUCUGUUGACACCAAGUCUGCCUACUCUGCUACUAUUUGUCAGCACUAUCACCUUCUAGGACUUCAACAUCAAGACUGCCUCCUCUGCUACUAUCAAAGUUCAGCUCCAAUCUCAAGUGGGCUACCAACACCAAACUUCAUCAGUAAAAUUUUAUUGAGGUGUGAGUUUGCUCAAGCUUCAAGACAGUAGGCUACCAACACCAAUCUCCAUCAGCCAAAUUUUAUUGAGGUGUGAGUUUGCUUCAGCUUCAAGACAGUAGGCUACCAACACCAAACUUCAUCAACCAAAUUUUAUUGAGGUGUGAGUUUGCUCGAGCUUCAAGACAGUAGGCUACCAACACCAAACUUCAUCAGCCAAAUUUUAUUGAGGUGUGAGUUUGCUUCAGCUUCAAGACAGUAGGCUACCAACACCAAUCUUCAACAACAAAAUUUUAUUGAAAUGAUUUCAAUACUUUCUCUAUUUCAACUUAUACACAUUCAAGGAGUGAACAGCAUUGAUCUAUGGGAGAAGUUUAUUCUAUACCUUGAAAAAGAAGUUAAAAAUAAGAAAAAACUAUCAAAUAUUUUUUAUGAUAUAGAGAAACUGUUCAAAUGCAUGAAAUGUGGAUAUCAGGAUUCAUCUUCAAGUCAGAAAAGUCUUUUGAAUAUAUUGACUAUUGAAUUAGCAUUAGAUCGUUUUGAAGAAUUUAUUUCAACAGGGCUUUCAAUUAAAAAAUACAAAUUGAAACUUAAUGAUGAAAGAUACUCUCAAGAAUUGUGUGAUUCAAUUGUGAAAAUAGCUGAAAAUUUCAUAUCAUCAAAUAACUGUAGUACAAUAAAUGAAUCAGAUAGUUUUAGUGAUGAUGAUGAUGAUGAUGAUGUAGAGAUGAGUGGGGAUGAUUCGGAUUUUGAAUCAAUUUUUAAUAAAAUUGAGGGUAAAAAGUUUAAUAAUCAAACAUUAACACAGUCAUUCAUGAUUAGGGACCAGACAAAGCAGGAAAUACUCACAUGUGAGAGUGAAAAUAUUUCAAAGGGCAGAAUCUUGGUGAAAGUUGAAAUAACAGAUGUUAAUGAUUUAAAAAAUAUUGAUGAGAGUUCUAGGUGGAGAAAAAUCAACAAGAAGGUUAUAUUUAUUGCAAAGAACAAGAAUGAUGAAAAAUUUAUAAAAAUGAAUGAUGGAUUGAAAAUAUUUUUGAAAGAGUUAUCUAAAAAAUCUAAUGUUGUAAAAGAAUCACGCAAAAUUAAUGCAUUCAAUAGCAAUAUGCAAAAUUGAUUUGUUCUGUAUCCAUCAGAUAGGAAAAACGUAUUCAAACAUAAUAUUAUUACAUCACUUUUCUUCAUUUUUUUUUUUUAGAUAACAAAUGAGAAGCAAUGAGCAGCAAUAUUCAUUUAUUCAAGGGGGGCAGAAGAAAAAAAGAUAGAAUAAAAGUUACCACUGGUCAGUUCACAGAAUUGGAGAGUGCAUUCAAUAAUGCAUUAAAGACUUAUUAUUACAAAAAUUCAAUUUCAAAGGAAUCUCUUUCCCCACACCAAUCAAAGAUAUAAAAGUUUUUGAAAAGAACAACAAGUCCAUAUCAAUAAACGUUUAUUUUCUAGAUGAAAAUAUGUGAUUAUGAGAAGAGAAAGCAUUUUGAUUUAUUAUUAUUGCAAGAGGAUGGGAAAUAUCAUUAUUGUUUAAUUAAAAAUUUAUCAAGACGCAUUAGAAGUCAAUUGACAAAACAUGAAAAUAAAAUAACAAUUUGUAAAAGAUGUUUCUCAUACUUUGAUGUGAGAGUGAAGAAAAAUUUCAAAACCCACCAAAGAUUAUGUUCGAAGAAAAAAAUAACAAAAGUUAUAAUGCCUAAGAAAAAUAUUUGCGAAUAUCGACCCAAUACUUAAAUUUAAGAAUUAUCAGAAUAAGUUUAGAGUUCCAAUAGUACUAUAUGCUGAUUUUGAAUGUUUAUUAGUUCCAUAUUUAUCUUGUACCCCAUCAAGCUCAAAAAGUUUCAGUAAUAAAACUCAUAGUCAUCAACCAUAUAGUUUUUGUAUCUAUCUAGUUAUUGAUGAAGAGAUUCCUGAAAAGAUAAAAUCGAAACUUCCUAGUGAACCUUACCUAUAUAGAGGAGAAAAUGUUGCUAAUAAUUUUAUGCAAUAUAUUACUAAUUUGACAAAUACAAUUGGAAAACUGUUAAAAGAAAAUAUUAAUAUGACUUUCACUAAAAAAGACUUGCUGAAUUUUAGAAAACAAAAAUGUUGUGAAAUGUGUGAUGGUCAGUUUACAAUGAUGAAUGAAGCAGUACGUGAUCACUGUCAUAUUACAGGAAAAUAUAGAGCAGCUUUAUGCAACAAUAGGUGUAAUUUGCUUAGACAAAAUCAAAAAUAUAUCCCAGUAUAUUUGCACAAUGGAGCAAAUUAUGAUAAUCAUAUAAUAAUAUGUGAAUUAGGGAUAGAUGAGCAUACCAUUAAUAUUAUCCCCAAUUCGAGUGAGAAAUACAUUUCUUUCACAAAACAUACAUCAAGUAAACUAUCAAUAAGAUUUAUUGA
This 2503-nucleotide long non-coding RNA is filed under the name Nilaparvata lugens (brown planthopper). RNAcentral describes it as "uncharacterized LOC120352368". Lineage: Eukaryota; Metazoa; Arthropoda; Insecta; Hemiptera; Delphacidae. The record is from RNAcentral.